UGGGAGCUUGCUCCGCAGGCGUCGAGCGGCGGACGGGUGAGUAACACGUGGGAAUCUGCCCAUUAGUGGGGGAUAACUCGGGGAAACUCGAGCUAAUACCGCAUAAUCCCUACGGGGGAAAGCAGGGGAUCUUCGGACCUUGCGCUGAUGGAUGAGCCCGCGUCGGAUUAGCUUGUUGGUGGGGUAAUGGCCCACCAAGGCGACGAUCCGUAACUGGUCUGAGAGGAUGGCCAGUCACACCGGGACUGAGACACGGCCCGGACUCCUACGGGAGGCAGCAGUGGGGAAUCUUGGACAAUGGGCGCAAGCCUGAUCCAGCCAUGCCGCGUGUGUGAAGAAGGCCUUCGGGUUGUAAAGCACUUUCAGUAGGGAGGAAGGCUUUGGGCUAAUACCCUGGAGUACUUGACGUUACCUACAGAAGAAGCACCGGCUAAUUUCGUGCCAGCAGCCGCGGUAAUACGAAAGGUGCGAGCGUUAAUCGGAAUUACUGGGCGUAAAGCGCGCGUAGGCGGUGUGUUAAGUCGGAUGUGAAAGCCCAGGGCUCAACCUUGGAAUUGCAUCCGAUACUGGCACGCUAGAGUGCAGUAGAGGGAGGUGGAAUUUCC
This 605-nucleotide ribosomal RNA is filed under the name Alloalcanivorax dieselolei. RNAcentral describes it as "bacterial SSU rRNA". It matches the Rfam family "Bacterial small subunit ribosomal RNA", at positions 67 to 671 of the family's 1533-position model. The record is from RNAcentral. Lineage: Bacteria; Pseudomonadati; Pseudomonadota; Gammaproteobacteria; Oceanospirillales; Alcanivoracaceae.